CCUACGGGAGGCAGCAGUGAGGAAUAUUGGUCAAUGGUCGGCAGACUGAACCAGCCAAGUCGCGUGAGGGAAGACGGCCCUACGGGUUGUAAACCUCUUUUGUCGGAGAGUAAAGUACGCUACGUGUAGCGUAUUGCAAGUAUCCGAAGAAAAAGCAUCGGCUAACUCCGUGC
RNAcentral lists this ribosomal RNA (173 nucleotides) under uncultured bacterium. Its description in RNAcentral is "partial 16S ribosomal RNA". It matches the Rfam family "Bacterial small subunit ribosomal RNA", at positions 338 to 508 of the family's 1533-position model. The record is from RNAcentral.